RNAcentral lists this ribosomal RNA (702 nucleotides) under uncultured bacterium. Its description in RNAcentral is "bacterial SSU rRNA". It matches the Rfam family "Bacterial small subunit ribosomal RNA", at positions 8 to 722 of the family's 1533-position model. The record is from RNAcentral.
AGAGUUUGAUCAUGGCUCAGAAUCAACGCUGGCGGCGUGCCUCAGACAUGCAAGUCGAACGAUUAAAGCUCUCUUCGGAGAGUGUAUAGAGUGGCGUACGGGAGAGUAACACGUAAGUAAUCUACCCUUGGGUGGGGAAUAACUUAGGGAAACCUAAGCUAAUACCGCAUAAUGCAGCGGCUCCGUAAGGAGACAGUUGUUAAAGCAUUUAUGUGCCUAAGGAGGAGCUUGCGGCAGAUUAGCUAGUUGGUAAGGUAACGGCUUACCAAGGCGACGAUCUGUAGCCGGUCUAAGAGGACGGUCGGUCUCACUGACACUGAAUAACGGGUCAGACUCCUACGGGAGGCAGCAGUCGGGAAUUUUGCGCAAUGGGGGAAACCCUGACGCAGCAACGCCGCGUGAAGGAUGAAGUCUUUCGGGAUGUAAACUUCGAAAGUAUAGGAAGAAUCAAUGACGGUACUAUACAUAAGCUCCGGCUAACUACGUGCCAGCAGCCGCGGUAAUACGUAGGGGGCAAGCGUUGUUCGGAUUUACUGGGCGUAAAGGGUGCGUAGGCGGCGCGACAAGUUACUUGUGAAAUCUCCGGGCUUAACUCGGAACGGCCAAGUAAAACUGUUGUGCUAGAGUACAGAAAGGGUAACUGGAAUUCUUGGUGUAGCGGUGAAAUGCGUAGAUAUCAAGAGGAACACCUGAGGCGAAGGC